CCUACGGGUGGCAGCAGUGAGGAAUAUUGGUCAAUGGGCGGAAGCCUGAACCAGCCAAGUAGCGUGCGGGAUGAAGGCCCUACGGGUUGUAAACCGCUUUUGCACGGGGAUAACACCCUCCACUUGUGGAGGUCUGCAGGUACCGUGCGAAUAAGGGCCGGCAAAUUCCGUGCCAGCAGCCGCGGUAAUACGGAAGGCCCGAGCGUUAUCGGGAUUUAUUGGGCUUAAAGGGAGCGUAGGUGGGUGUUCAAGUCAGUUGUAAAAUUGUGGGGCUAAACCUCGCCGUGCAGUUGAAACUGGGAGUCUUGAGUGCACUAGAGGCAGGCGGAAUUCGUGGUGUAGCGGUGAAAUGCAUAGAUAUCACGAGGAACCCCGAUUGCGAAGGCAGCCUGCCGGGGUGCCACUGACGCUGAGGCUCGAAGGUGCGGGUAUCAAACAGGAUUAGAUACCCCAGUAGUC
Molecule: ribosomal RNA, 459 nt
Filed under: uncultured bacterium
Lineage: Bacteria
Description: partial 16S ribosomal RNA
Rfam family: Bacterial small subunit ribosomal RNA
Source: RNAcentral